AUCUUUCAACUAUUAGGGCGCGUUUGGUUCACACUAUAAAAUAUUACUAGGAAUAAAAAGAUGUCCGAAAGUUUUAUUCCUAUUCAUCCUAUUACUAAGAAUAUGGCAUUCCUGUGUUUGGUUCGCACGAUCAUAUUAUUUAGUCAUGUUAUUUAAGAUUACAAAAAAAUAUACAAUUAAUUUAUUUAUUUCUUUAAUUAAUUUUAGAUAAUGCUACCAUAAAUUUCAACAUUAUUUUAGAAAAAAGGAAAAGAGAACAUAGGUUAGAGAGAGAAAGCAUAAUUAAAAAAAUAGAAAGAGAAAUAGAGUCGAGGUUAGAGGGAGUGAGAGAAUUGAGAUUUUAGAAAAAAAAGGGGAAGAGAGAGCUUAGUUUAGAGAGAGAAAGCGAGUUCAAGUUUAGAGAGAAAAAGAUAAGUUUAGAGAAAGAUAUGAGGUUAGAGUGUAAAGAAAAAUAAUAUCAACUAGCGGCGGCGGGUAGGAAGAAAGAAAAAAAUUAGACAUAUUAUGAUUACAUCAAUCCAUUCAUAUGAGGAUACCCACGUUCCCUUAAGGGAAUGAGAUUAGUAUUUUGGGAUGAGAAAUACUAAUCUCAUUCCCAAGUAAAUCUAAUAUUACCAACUAGAUUACUUAGUGCGUUUAACCAAACACCGUCAUAUUUUUUUAUUCCUAUUGGAUUACUAGAAAUCUUAAAAAAAUAGCGCGAACCAAACACACCCUUAAGUUUAAUAAAAUGUAUUGUAUUGCACUAUACAUUCUAAAACUCUAUUAGCUGAAUUAUAUUGUGCUAGACAUGGUUUAUCAUGAUCCAAUGCUUUAUCAUGAUCCGAACAUCUCCCAUGGGAGUCACCAUACGGUUUCUAGCUUCGAAAGAAGUAAUCCAAACAUUUACAUCUGUGAAACCCCAACGAAGUUUUUUUGAAGAAUCCAAGUAGCGCCACACUAAUCCAUAGGAUAUAUUAUUUCUGGGAGGUUCCUGGGCAGGAUGGUAUCCAUCAAACUUUUAAAGUUUCCGCAAAACCAUUUAUAUGUAAUUCUUCAAUGUUUUCAUCUCAUUCAUCUUUUUUUAAUUGUUUAUUUACAGCGCAUGUUACGUAGCUUAAACUGAGACAAAACCGCAAGCAUGCAUAACAGGUAAAGACUUUUUUUAAUAAUAUAUAUAUAUAUAGAGAGAGAGAGAGGGUUGGGCUUUUGUGCUUUCGAAAGCACGAAAGCCUCCGUGCUUGCAAGUUCUUUUCAAUUAUAGAACAUCGGAUUCGACGAUCGGCUCUGUCAGGCAUGAUGACGCUAUUAGAACUAUUUAGAAACCAAAUUUCAUAAUUUUUUUAUUACGUUUGCCUAGUGAACGAGUGGCCUCAAAUGAACGGCUAAAAAUAAAAAUCUCAUAAAAAAUAAUGAUAAAAGAAUCAAAUUUCAAAUCGAAAGUAUUGUUCUUACUCCUGAUGUUAAGUAGAAUUUUCUAUUAAAGUUUCAUAUAAUUUGGAUUCUUCUACACUGUUGAACUUACAAAUUAACGUGCCACAUCGGCCAUUAAAAUAGUCAAUUUUGAGACUCUUUGAUCACUUCGUAAACGAUGUCGAAAAAUUAUAAAAUUUGAUUUCUAAAGUGAAAAACCGUUGAACCACAUGGGUGGGAUUUGAAGUCUUCCCUUUAAAUAAAACUAGUUAAGGGAUCUGCGCGAUGAUGCGGGUAGUUAUUUUAAAAUUUAAUUUUAAAAAUUAGUUAUAAAAAUUAAUUUCAGAAUUUAAAUGGUGUAAUAAGUACAUUAAAAAGUUUUAGUAAGCAUAGUAGUCUCCCAUUAGUUAGUGAAAUAAUUUUAGUAGGUAUCGUAGUCCCCCAGUAGUUAGUAAAUGAGAAGAGAAAUCAUGCUGCGGUUAGUUAUUUUAAAAUUUAAUUUUGAAAAUUAGUUAUAAAAAUUAAUUUCAGAAUAAUUAUGAAAUAUUACGGACACGCCGUGCCGCGCCGCCCCCCAGACGCGCCUCGGCUUUUUUUUUAGCGCCGAGAACCACCACCACCGGACCACCCAACGUGCCCCAGGUGCUCCUGUUUCACCGGAGCACCUGGUAUACUCUCCCUCCAGGUGCCACCUGGAAGGAGAGUAAGAGAGAGAGAGAGAGAGAUAUCUAUAUAUAUAUAUAUUAAAAUAAAUAUAUUAUAUAUAUAUUAAAUAAAUAUUUAUAUAUAAAUACAUAAUAUAUAUCAUAAAAUAUAUAUACAUUUAUAUUUUAAAAUAAAUAUUUAUAUAUAAAUAAAUAAAUAUAUCAUAAAAUAAAAAUAUAUCUAUAUAAUAAUAUAUUAUUAAAUAAUAUAUUAAAUGAUAAAUAAAAAUAUUUUACAUUUGAUAUAUUUAUUUACAAUUUAUUAAAUCUGAUAACCAUAAUCUAUAUGAAUAACGUAAUGCUAUGGAUGAUUUUUAAUAAAGUGAUUGAUGACCCCCUGAUGCUAUGGAUGAUUUUUAAUAAAGAAUAAUGUAAUCCUUUCUAUUGACGUAAAUAAAUUUUAAUAAAGCAUNAAAGAUAUGAGGUUAGAGUGUAAAGAAAAAUAAUAUCAACUAGCGACGGGUAGGGAGAAAGAAAGAAAUUAGACAUAUUAUGAUUACAUCAAUCCAUUCAUAUGAGAAUACCCACGCUCUCCCAAGGGAAUGAGGUUAAUUAGUACUUUGGGAUGAAUCUCAAUCCCAAGUAAAUCUAAUAUUACCAACUAGAUUACUUAGUGCGUUUAAUCAAACACCGUCAUAUUUUUUUAUUCCUAUUGAAUUACUAGAAAUCUUAAAAAGAUAGCGCGAACCAAACACACCCUUAAGUUUAAUAAAAUGUAUUGUAUUGCACUAUACAUUCUAAAAC
RNAcentral lists this long non-coding RNA (2840 nucleotides) under Ananas comosus (pineapple). RNAcentral describes it as "long non-coding RNA (ACOM_LNC001988)". The record is from RNAcentral. Lineage: Eukaryota; Viridiplantae; Streptophyta; Magnoliopsida; Poales; Bromeliaceae.